This 2113-nucleotide long non-coding RNA is filed under the name Ceratitis capitata (Mediterranean fruit fly). Its description in RNAcentral is "uncharacterized LOC110117823". The record is from RNAcentral. Lineage: Eukaryota; Metazoa; Arthropoda; Insecta; Diptera; Tephritidae.
UAAAUUGUCAGUAUUUUUAAAAUGAAAAUAAUUUAUAAAUCGUUAAUUAUCUACUAAUAGCAGAAAAUUAAGAAUAAGUUUACCGUGCGCAAGUCAAGACGCUUCCCUGGCAUGUCUGGAAGGAUUGUUGAAACAACACAGCGUAAACGAAUCACUGGAUGUGACGUCUUACAGAUACACCAUCGUGGUUAGGAGCUCAAGAAUUUUCUAGCGAUAAGGUAUGCGUGUUUUGUAAGAGGAGGAAGAAAUCCUGCAAGCAUUGGAUUGCAUUUUGAGAAAGAAAGUUUUUACGGAACCACCUAUUGGCAAUGGAGGACUCGAAGUCUCUUGUGAAAUCCGUACAAUCCAAACGCAAUAAGACUUGGAUAUUGUAGUUGACUAAACUUUCCUUGCCCGCACUCGAGCCUUACAUACUCAAUGCUCGCUUGCUAGUUUUAGCCACUAACGGAGAGGGGAAGUUCUGUAAGAGCUUAAGUCGGGAACGAUUUUCCGGACGGAUCAAGCCAAUUCACUGAGCUCUGUGAAGUCUUAAGCUGGGAGUGCAAGUCGGCGCCACAACAACUAUUGAGACCAGCAAAGUCGGCAGUCAUGGAAUAUUUUAUUUUUACGCGGCUUUCCAAUUUGCAACAAAAAUGUAGAUAUCGUUUUCUACUAAAUUUUUGUAAUGUUUGUUUUUGAGGUUAGUUGGCUGCCUCGCCUCCAUUUGUCAAAACGCACAUUCCAUGGUUGUUUUUUGUAUUGAAGUGCACCAAGUACUGCAAAGUUUGUGAUGUCCAUAGUCGUUAUAGCCGCUGGCGGACCAUAACUAUUGCCUAUAGAAAUUUACGCGUUGUCUUGGCGAAGAGUGCGCCGCAGAGUUUCCAAUAAGCUUUCACAAAGCAUACCAUUUUCCUUUCUUUAUUGGCGCGAUGUGCAUUUGCCGCGUGGCGUCCACAGACGUUAAUGACAUAUAUAUCCUCAUUGAGGAGUAUGCUGAGUUUUUCUUGUUAAAAUACCGAAUUCAAGUGAGCCUGAAAUGGAGUGCGGCUAAAUGUGCGCCUUAAUUGCUGUUGAGUUUGUGUAAAGGCUCUAGCUUUAGCAGCGGAAACCGACAAAAGCCUUGGCCGCUUAAUGCAAAUGCAAUUUAGACGAUCAUAAAGCUUAGUCCAAUUCAUAUCAUAAGCACUUUAAGCUACGUACAUAUGUAGUCAAACGCAUCGCCUGACAAAACGGAAGUUAGUUGCAUGCCACUUGUGUACGCCAAGGUUCAUAUUUACAAACGUUUAUGCGUUUGAGAUAACUAUAAAACCCAAAAUCCAUAUGGUAGCAGUUGUUGAAAGACAAAUGAAUUUCUUAAUUACUCUGUAGCCGACAAUUUACACCUGAUAUAUUGUCAGUGGCUGUCCAUUGGACUACUACGGGCUAGAGUGAUUUGUGUGGCUGGUAAAUGCACUUAAUCUGAUGCUGCCUAACAAGCUAACCGGUUGAGCUUCUAUUGUAGUUGGUCACGUUUAAGCUACUGGCGAACUCGCUGCAAGAAGCCUAAAACUUAUUCGAUUUCUGUGCGACUGAAGCCACAGUUUCCUGACAAGAAAAGUAAGAAAUGUUAGUGUUUUUCGAUUAGAUAUUUUAAAAUACAUACAUAUAUCUAGAGUAAAGUGCAUCCCGUGUGGUCAAGAUAUGAUUGACAUUAAAAUCUACGGCUAAAAUAAGCGGCCUAAUCGAUUGUAAAUAAGAAGCCUUCUUAGUAAAAGUUGUAUAACAAAAUUAGUUACGAACGUAAUUCUUUUUCUUUCGGACUUUAUCAUCGUAUAUAGCCCCUCUUAACUUCCGUUUGUCUCUCCCCUGUCAAUUUUUGUUCAACUCGCUUGAUUAUACUUUCCUAAACGUUUUCGUUAAAUGGCCGCAAAUAUGUUAUACUUCAAAAGUCUGAUAUCGAAGCGAUAAAUUCCACCGUACAGCAUAUCGAUAGAUUUUUCAUGGAAUACCUAAAACGGCUUUUCUACGGCGACGUGAAUUAUACUGUCUCGAAUUACCAUUGCGAAUUAAAUCCUUCACAUGGCACGCAAUUUGACAGUUCUCUGUUUCGCUGGUUUUUUUUUUUUGGUACCAGUUGAAAACUGAGGGUAAUGAA